GACGAACGCUGGCGGCGUGCCUAAUACAUGCAAGUCGAGCGGACGGAUGGGAGCUUGCUCCCACACCGUCAGCGGCGGACCGGAUAGUAACCCCUGGGCAACCUUCCUGUAAGACUGGGAUAACUCCGGGAAACCGGGACUAAUACCGGAUAACUCUUUCCAUCACCUGAGGUAAAUCUUAAAGAUGGCAUCUCGCUAUCACUUACAGAUGAGCCCGCGUCGCAUUAGCUAGUUGGUGAGGUAACGGCUCACCAAGGCGACGAUGCGUAGCCGACCUGAGAGGGUGAUCGGCCACACUGGAACUGAGACACGGCCCAGACUCCUACGGGAGGCAGCAGUAGGGAAUCUUCCGCAAUGGGCGAAAGCCUGACGGAGCAACGCCGCGUGAGUGAUGAAGGUCUUCGGAUCGUAAAACUCUGUUGUCAGGGAGGAACAAGUACCGGAGUAACUGUCGGUAUCUUGACGGUACCUGACCAGAAAGCCACGGCUAACUACGUG
This 498-nucleotide ribosomal RNA is filed under the name uncultured bacterium. Its description in RNAcentral is "partial 16S ribosomal RNA". It matches the Rfam family "Bacterial small subunit ribosomal RNA", at positions 28 to 507 of the family's 1533-position model. The record is from RNAcentral.